Molecule: ribosomal RNA, 403 nt
Filed under: uncultured bacterium
Lineage: Bacteria
Description: bacterial SSU rRNA
Rfam family: Bacterial small subunit ribosomal RNA
Source: RNAcentral
UAUUGCACAAUGGGCGCAAGCCUGAUGCAGCCAUGCCGCGUGUGUGAAGAAGGCCUUCGGGCUGUAAAGCACUUUCAGUCAGGAGGAAAGGUUAGUAGUUAAUACCUGCUAGCUGUGACGUUACUGACAGAAGAAGCACCGGCUAACUCCGUGCCAGCAGCCGCGGUAAUACGGAGGGUGCGAGCGUUAAUCGGAAUUACUGGGCGUAAAGCGUACGCAGGCGGUUUGUUAAGCGAGAUGUGAAAGCCCCGGGCUCAACCUGGGAACUGCAUUUCGAACUGGCAAACUAGAGUGUGAUAGAGGGUGGUAGAAUUUCAGGUGUAGCGGUGAAAUGCGUAGAGAUUUGAAGGAAUACCGAUGGCGAAGGCAGCCACCUGGGUCAACACUGACGCUCAUUACGAAA